This 253-nucleotide ribosomal RNA is filed under the name uncultured bacterium. RNAcentral describes it as "partial 16S ribosomal RNA". It matches the Rfam family "Bacterial small subunit ribosomal RNA", at positions 524 to 776 of the family's 1533-position model. The record is from RNAcentral.
UACAGAGGUCUCAAGCGUUGUUCGGAUUCAUUGGGCGUAAAGGGCGCGUAGGCGGCGAUUCAAGUGACGGGUGAAAUCCCUCGGCUUAACCGAGGAACUGCCUGUCAGACUGGAUUGCUUGAGGCCGGGAGAGGCGAGUGGAAUUCCCAGUGUAGCGGUGAAAUGCGUAGAUAUUGGGAGGAACACCAGUGGCGAAGGCGGCUCGCUGGACCGGUUCUGACGCUGAGGCGCGAAAGCGUGGGGAGCAAACAGG